ACCUUCCGGUGAGGUGAAUCACACCAGGGAACCACAUGCUGGAUCCAUGGUGUGAAGUCUGUGAAAAGCUGAGCACCCAGUAUUUUGAGUCCAUUCAAUGGGAACACCAGCAGCUCUGGAUUUAAUGAGUCUGCUCUUAAUGUGCUGAACUCCUGCGUCUCACAGAGAAAGGGCUGGGUAAUGCUCAGCACUUCUGCAAAUAACUUACUGGAAAUGUAG
Molecule: long non-coding RNA, 219 nt
Organism: Pipra filicauda (Wire-tailed manakin)
Lineage: Eukaryota; Metazoa; Chordata; Aves; Passeriformes; Pipridae
Exons: 3
Source: RefSeq, a predicted model, not a curated record